AUGGGACUGCGGCCUAUCAGCUUGUUGGUGAGGUAAUGGCCCACCAAGGCGAUUACAGGUACGGGCUCUGAGAGGAGAAGCCCGGAGAUGGGUACUGAGACAAGGACCCAGGCCCUAUGGGGCGCAGCAGGCGAGAAAACUUUGCAAUGUGCGAAAGCACGACAAGGUUAAUCCGAGUGAUUUCUGCUAAAGGAAUCUUUUGUUAGUUCUAAAUAUACUAGUGAAUAAGGGGUGGGCAAGUUCUGGUGUCAGCCGCCGCGGUAAAACCAGCACCUCAAGUGGUCAGGAGGAUUAUUGGGCCUAAAGCAUCCGUAGCCUGUUCUAUAAGUUUGCGGUUAAAUCUAUGCGCUCAACGUAUAGGCUGCCGUAAAUACUGUAGAACUAGGGAGUGGGAGAGGUAGACGGUACUCGAUAGGAAGGGGUAAAAUCCUUUGAUCUAUUGAUGACCACCUGUGGCGAAGGCGGUCUACCAGAACACGUUCGACGGUGAGGGAUGAAAGCUGGGGGAGCAAACCGGAUUAGAUACCCGGGUAGUCCCAGCUGUAAACGAUGCAGACUCGAUGAUGCAAUGGCAUAGAGCUAUUGCAGUAUCGCAGGGAAGCCGUUAAGUCUGCCGCCUGGGAAGUACGUACGCAAGUAUGAAACUUAAAGGAAUUGGCGGGGGAGCACCACAAGGGGUGAAGCCUGCGGUUCAAUUGGAGUCAACGCCGGG
Molecule: ribosomal RNA, 712 nt
Filed under: uncultured Nitrososphaerota archaeon
Lineage: Archaea; Thermoproteati; Nitrososphaerota
Description: bacterial SSU rRNA
Rfam family: Archaeal small subunit ribosomal RNA
Source: RNAcentral